CCAGCCCGCCCGAGCGAUCACCGAGCCUGCCGGUACGGCCGAGGGCAAGCGAGCGGGCCUGCGGGUGUGCCGGCCCUGCGGCAGGGAAUCAUCGAGUCAUCGGGGCUGGAAGAGACCUUUAAGGUCGUCCAGUCCCACCGUCAGCCCAGAACUACCGCUGUGACCCCUAGAACACUAAACCACGUCACCCAGCGCCAGGCACAGCAGAAGAGACCGGCCCCCACCUCACUGCAACCUCCUGUCGGUGGUUGUGAGGAGUGAUGAGGUCGCCCCUGAGCCUUCUUGAGACUAAACAACCCCAGCUGCCUUAGCCCUUUCUCACAAGGCUGAAGGGCCAGAGGAAUACAAAUACCUAACAUUUCCAUUAUUCCGUGGGAUUUUUGAGGAUUCUGAAAUGACGCUCCUUCCCUGGGUUCUCUGCCGACGCCGUUCCCCUCAGCCGUGUGACCGCGAGGGAGGAUCUGGGUCCCGCC
Molecule: long non-coding RNA, 473 nt
Organism: Pipra filicauda (Wire-tailed manakin)
Lineage: Eukaryota; Metazoa; Chordata; Aves; Passeriformes; Pipridae
Exons: 4
Source: RefSeq, a predicted model, not a curated record